Molecule: ribosomal RNA, 403 nt
Filed under: uncultured Acetobacterium sp.
Lineage: Bacteria; Bacillati; Bacillota; Clostridia; Eubacteriales; Eubacteriaceae
Description: partial 16S ribosomal RNA
Rfam family: Bacterial small subunit ribosomal RNA
Source: RNAcentral
GGGGAAUAUUGCGCAAUGGGGGAAACCCUGACGCAGCAAUACCGCGUGAGUGAAGAAGGUUUUCGGAUCGGAAAGCCCUGUUAUUGGGGAAGAAAAAAAGACGGUACCCAAAAAAAAAAGCCCGGGUAACUACGUGCCAGCAGCCGCGGUAAUACGUAGGGGACAAGCGUUGUCCGGAUUUACUGGGCGUAAAGGGCACGCAGGCGGUUUUUUAAGUCAGAUGUGAAAGGUACCGGCUCAACCGGUGACAUGCAUUUGAAACUGAAAGACUUGAGUAUUGGAGAGGCAAGUGGAAUUCCUAGUGUAGCGGUGAAAUGCGUAGAUAUUAGGAGGAACACCAAUGGCGAAGGCAGCUCGCUGGGACGUUACUGACGCUGAGACGCGAAAGCGUGGGGAGCAAACA